CCCGCGCGCAGGGAAUGGGGACAGGCGCGGAGGAGACUCUGUCUGUGGGGUCACCUCCGCAGAGUCGGUGUUUGUUUUCCUGCGGGCUCCCCUGGGAGGCGCAAAUGCAUUUGAGGGGCAGUGCGGGGGGGGGGGGGUGUUAACCCGGCCGUUUCCAUGGCACCCGGGGCGUGGGGGAGGAAUGCACCCCGCAAGCUGUGUCGAAACAACUGCGCAGCCGGACCAGCCCGGCUGGAGAAGGCUGGAGGGAGUGGGGGGGCAGGAGGGUGGGGGGAAGCCGGGCUGGACGGGGGUGGGGCGGUCACGUGCGCCCGAGGGGGCGGGGCCCCAAGCCGGCCCCGGAGCGGAACCGAGUUCCACCUAGAGGCUCCGUGCAAGGCGCGAACUUUUCCCCCAAGAUUUGAGGGGCUGACCUUGGCCUGAACCCCUCGGGAGGACUCAAGGCACCCGUAGCCAGGACCGGGCUGAGGUGUCCGAGGCCAGCCUGGGACAGCGGUCGGGGGCUGAAGACACCCAGGAAAAGUGGGAGCAGAAGCCUGGGGGUGAGUGCAGGGAGAGCUCUGCGGGCAGCUUGUACGAAGGCUCUGGUCUCCGUUUAUUCCGGGGUGGGCCAGGGCAAGUGCCCCGACAGCUCGAAGGUGGCAGCCGAGGCCACUGUCCCUUAAGAGUGCUGGAGUCCUCAGCACCUGUCUAGGGCUUCAGCAGGGGCUGUGGUCAUGGUGAAUGAAGAUCCCAACCAACAGGAGAAAAAUGGCACGCCCGCGCAGGACCCCGUACUCCGGGUGGACCACAGCGCCUCGGGGCACCAGAGCGUGUCCACGCACCCGAGCGUGUCGAUGCACCCGAGCGUGUCGGCCCACCCCAGUGUCUCCAUCCACCCCGCCGUGUCGGCCCGCCCGAGCAGUUCGGCCCACCCCAGUAUGCUGGCCCAGUCCGGUAGCUUGGCCCGCCCCAGUAGCUCGUGCCCCGAGGACCUUAGUGUGAUCAAGGUGAGCAAACGCCGUUGGGUGGUGGUCCUGCUGUUUAGCUGCUACUCCAUGUGCAACGCCUUCCAGUGGAUCCAGUACGGCUCCAUCAAUAACAUCUUCAUGCACUUCUACGGGGUCAGCGCCUUUGCCAUCGACUGGCUGUCCAUGUGCUACAUGCUGACCUACAUCCCUCUGCUGCUGCCCGUGGCCUGGCUGCUGGAGAAAUUCGGCCUGCGCACCAUCGCCCUCACCGGGUCCGCUCUCAACUGCCUGGGGGCCUGGGUGAAGUUGGGUAGCCUGAAGCCGCAUCUCUUCCCGGUCACCGUGCUGGGCCAGAUCAUCUGCUCUGUGGCCCAGGUCUUCAUCCUGGGCAUGCCCUCCCGCAUCGCUUCAGUCUGGUUCGGGGCCAAUGAGGUGUCAACGGCCUGUUCCAUAGCUGUCUUCGGCAAUCAGCUUGGAAUUGCAGUUGGGUUCUUGGUCCCUCCUGUUUUGGUACCCAACAUCGAAGACCAGGACAAGCUUGCCUACCACAUCAGCAUCAUGUUUUACAUAAUAGGAGGCGUGGCCACUCUGCUUUUCAUCCUUGUCAUCAUCGUAUUCAAGGAGAAGCCUAAACAUCCCCCCAGCAGGGCCCAAUCCCUGAGCUACGCCUUGGCGUCCCCUGAUGCUUCGUACUUAAGUUCCAUUGUCCGGCUCUUCAGAAACCUCAACUUUGUGCUGCUUGUCAUUACCUACGGUCUGAAUGCUGGUGCUUUUUAUGCCUUGUCAACUCUGCUGAAUCGCAUGGUGAUCUUGCACUACCCGGGGGAAGAAGUGAAUGCUGGAAGAAUCGGCCUGACCAUCGUCAUUGCAGGAAUGCUUGGGGCUGUGAUCUCAGGCAUCUGGCUGGAUAGGUCCAAAACCUACAAGGAGACAACCCUGGUGGUCUACAUUAUGACUGUGGUUGGCAUGGUGGUGUACACAUUGACCUUGAACCUGGGACACCUGUGGGUCCUGUUCAUCACUGCUGGCACAAUGGGCUUCUUCAUGACCGGCUACCUUCCCCUGGGAUUUGAGUUUGCUGUGGAGCUGACAUACCCAGAAUCAGAAGGCAUGUCGUCUGGCCUCCUUAAUGUGUCUGCCCAGGUAUUCGGGAUCAUCUUCACCAUCUCCCAGGGUCAAAUUAUUGACAACUAUGGAACCAUGCCCGGGAACAUCUUUCUGUGUGUGUUCCUCACCCUUGGAGCAGUCCUCACUGCAUUCAUUAGGGCAGACCUCCGGAGGCAGAAAGCAAACAAAGAAACUCCUGAGAAUAGCACGUCACUGUUGUCACAGUCUGCUGAGCAGCGCCCACUCCUUGGAUCCUGAGACAAGUCCUGAGACCCUGGCUCCACUGCUUUCAGCCUUGGGGUCAGUGGCUGGAGAGGAAAGAAACUCCAGGAGGAGGGGGAGGAGGAGGAGGAGGGCAAUGCCAACAAAGUACCCACCAUUGUGUCUGAGGAGCACUUCUGAGAGAAGAAGGUGGUGGCGACUCAGGGAACACCGACGGCACCCCCCCUCCCCCCCCCCGCCGCUUCUUCGGUCAGCAUUCACUGCCAGCACACAGGUCUUCACCGGAGCAGCUUUUGGAGGGAACCGGCUGGAAUAUCUGUGGCUUGGAUGGCGGUGCCUCUGCCUCCUGGAACCCAUUCAAGAGCUUGCAUGGUCUGGUUGGGGACGAUGGCACCUUUCACCAAAUGCACACUCCAUUCCCGCCCCCUCCCCCUGGUGGGUUAUGGGAGCUGGUGUUGGGAGAGGCUGGUGGAGAACGGUGCUGCCCUGUCUUCCCCCUUCCCCUCCAUCCUGCAAAGAGAGAGCCUGCGAAAUUAUCGCGGAAAGGAAGCUUAUUCAGGAUAUUAACUUUUUCUAGUGUCUUAAGACCCUUAGAAGCCCAGUCCUAAGGAGAGGCAGCUGCUCCAGAUGAGGGGAAUUUGGGGGUCACUGGCCCGGCUGCUGAUGUUCUGUGGGAAAAAGCACCAUCAGAAAAAAACUGCAUCAGAACGAAGCCAUCAGGACUUGGCCUCGUUUCUCCUGGCCUGAGGUUGGGGUCUGCUUCCAAACCCUUUCCUAAGAGCUGAUCAAACCAAACAUCAAUAAACUUGACAGAAAUUUUGCUGUGGCCAUGAAGGAGAAACCCAUUUGGGAGAGUGAGCUGCCUAGGUGUGUGAGGGCACCUGUGAAGGCAGUUGGGGACCAUGGUAGCUUGAUUUGGGACUAAGUUCUUUUCUACAGAGUCUCUGCCCAGGGACUUCCGUGUGGGUCAUAGUCCCCUCUGAUGCCUUCAUGUGGACACUACCUUGAGAAACUCCAUCAGCCUCUGCACUUGCUUUCUCUGAAGGGAGGGAAAUCCCAGCCAACUUCCUGUAACCUUUACUGAGAGCUAACCUUGAUUCAUCCCAUGCUGAGAAAUCCACAGCUGCUUCUGCGAGAUGAGAGGAAAGGGGCAGAAGGGAAGCUGGCCCUUGAAAUGGGAAGUGAGUCUGCUUGAAUUAAGUGCACCUGCCUCCGGAGGGGACAGUAUUCUUACACCCACCCCCUCUUCCUGCCCUCUUCCAGCAGUAAUCUUUUUUUAAAUCAGAUAUUGUGAAUUUAAAGGGAGUCCCUUUAAACCAACCCAAGGUGACUUCCUCUCCUGCCUAGCCUGCCGUCUGGCUCUACUCAUGGCCUUGGGUGGUGUCCCCUGAAAAUAAGACAUUUCAGUAAUUUCUCCUGCGUGGUGAACAGCUGUGAUCCUGACCAUGGUGCUGUUUGGCUGUGGCCACUGCCCCGGCCUUGGCAAACGGGAGCAGCCUGGGUCGGUUGGCAGCAGUGCCGGGGUGCCCGGGCCACUGCCUGAGGGGAGCCAGGUGUGUGUGUGUGUGUGUGUGUGUGUGUGUGUGUACGUUCUGGGUAAUAGAAGAAGUUCACACUUCUGGUGGGGGGAGUGAUUGGGGGUGGAAGCAAAGUGGAGAGAAAGCGUGUCUUACUUUUGAUAAGGAGAAAGGUGCUUAUUCUUCAGCUCCUUCAAACUCUUUAACAGAAUGUUUACCAGAGCCAUUCGUUCCUUUAAGAACAUAAUUUGUAUUUUCUGUUUGUAAUGCCAGAUGUUUUAAGGCAAUAAAAGAUUCUCCGAGUG
This is an RNA transcript of Leopardus geoffroyi (Geoffroy's cat), 4101 nucleotides long. It is a transcript of the gene named FLVCR heme transporter 2, with no coding region annotated. The transcript is spliced from 11 exons. NCBI's taxonomy places the organism in Eukaryota, Metazoa, Chordata, Mammalia, Carnivora, Felidae. The record is from RefSeq and is a predicted model, not a curated record.